RNAcentral lists this long non-coding RNA (2632 nucleotides) under Penaeus japonicus. RNAcentral's name for it is "uncharacterized LOC122243684". Lineage: Eukaryota; Metazoa; Arthropoda; Malacostraca; Decapoda; Penaeidae. The record is from RNAcentral.
CGAGUGCCAUUCGGCCGGUCGCUCGCAGGCACCAUGCCCGUCCCACACAGAUUCGCCAUGUUUCUGCUGCUCUACGGACAGGAGGUGAUCGACCAGCCCGCCCCCUGGUGACACGGUAGUGGAGCACCAGGGGCCGGGCACCACGUUCACCAAACCUGCCGGACUGUACCGUUGACGACCUGCACGAAUGAACAUGACAAUCUACGAUAAAAAAAAAAAUGAAUUGCUGCCAGAGAGGAAUAAAAAAAAAGAAAAAACCGUUGUUAUUGGUGCAUUCGCUACGACCGUCAUCAGGGUGAAUGGAAAUCAGUUCUGAAACCAUCAUCCUCAAGAUCAGCUGACUCCAUCGCUUUAAAGAUGCGACGAAAACUAGAAUGUUUAUCGAUAGCCUUCGUGCGAGUCUAAACUUUCCCAUCUUCAAGAGUAACGGAAAUGCCACAUUCAUGUACGCUUAAGUUGCAAGUCCCUUCUCUAACUUAAACCACGUUCAAACACGACUGAUUCUAUCACUAUAAAUCAAGCCGUCCCAGUUCGUCUAAAUAUUACCAUCACACCCACACACCUUGUCACCAUACCCUGACCACGACCGGGUAUGGUGCCACGAAGUCUCCGCUUCAGAUCGAUCUAUGCGACAGCCAUCAUUGCGACCAUGGCACCGGAACUGACCUUAGAUAUUGCCUUACUGGGUCAUAUGGACUGAGAUUAAUGUUACGCUCGGAUGGUGCAUCGCUGACCUUGAGAGUUGUCGCGAUAAAAGAGCUUGUUUGUCCUCCAUGCUGGAGGGAGAGGUUAACCUUGGAAUCCAGAAGGAAUGUUCUGGUUUUAGUAUGUCUAUACACAGAAUAUCACCGAGCUUUCAGUAGGCGUCAUAUAUAUAUAUAUAUAUAUAUAUAUAUAUAUAUAUAUAUAUAUAUAUAUAUAUAUAUAUGACAUAGUAUCAUAGUUAUUUGUAAAUAUGAAAUUCUUUCUUCUUAGGGAACCUGCCGUUACUCUCAAAGAGGCAUUUCCCACUACUCAGACGGUGGAGUGGUGAGGCCAUGACUUCUUUGUGGUAAUGAUACCAGUAAUGAUCCUUUGAAGGUCCUCUCGCGCCCUUCCCCCCGCCCGCCCCGCGUCAGAUACCCACAAAGCAAGUCGGGCGAGGAUGUGAAGGGCAAGGACGUCACACUUAUGUCUUUAAGUUGAACUUUCAUGACCUUUUGGGUGUCGCCUCGCCGUCCGCAGCGACACCCUCAUGGUGAUAAGGCCUGUCCAUGGUACCGGAUAAGGCCACCGAGAUCCUGCAGGCUAAUAGGAAACAUCCUUUCUCCAAGAAGAAACGUCUGCCGUAGAGCUUUCGAUGAAGCGUUCCUUGUCCAGGUACAAAGCCGUUGCGCCACAAAUAGCACGAGUUACCUCUCUCCUCUGUUCACAAUUUUGCCUGAAUGCCCAUGAUCCUACAAGGUUCCUUAGCGUAGCGCGCAAGGAAGAAAAAUACAGGUCACCCCGUGGAAAGGCUCCGUCUGAUCGAUCCCUGAAAUCCACCCGGAGAUCCAGGCCGCGAGACUUCACUAUCCACCAGGUUGCAAAAAGUGACAAAGAGAUGACGUCUGGGAAUUUCACACCGACAUUCUCUAAUGAUAGUCCGACAUCGCAGUUCAUAAUUAUUCUUCGAUUACCUAAACGGAAGAAGUUUACCGCACAAUUAGUUUAUUCUAGAUUCGUGCAAUUCAAGGAAUUAUACACGGUGGUCACGAAACGUCACCGACUUACAAAACACCAGUGUAAGGAAGACAUGAAGGUGAACAGGAAUGUGACCUAAUAUACCACAUCAAAAUAAUAAUAAUGGAAAAUAUAAUAAGACCAUCACAUCACCAAGCUCCACGCGAAAGAGCGAGUGAGCAUAACUCACCGUCAAUACACAGGUGAUAAAAACGAUUGCAUCAUAGCUGAUCAAUACUAAGAGGAUGACUCAGCACCGAGAAGACACAUAUAAAAAGACACGUAUCUGAGACCCUAUUACCAUCGGAGGAAAAUCAAACUUGAAAUGUAUUUGAAAGAGGUUGUAUGAGAGCUUUGCUUAGUCCAUUAUCGCAAAUUGGAUUGUCAAAAUUCAGCUUUCAAAAAAUAAAAUAAAAAACACCCAUUCAGAUAAAAGAAUAUCAAAACACAGCUUAUAAAACACCCUCUCACUCAGAUAAAGCAAUACCAGAAUCUAGCUUAAAAACACCUACGUAGAUAAAGAAAAAAAAUGAAUCACUACUUUUUUUUUUUUUUUUUUUUUAUAAGUCCUUCGAAAAUAUGCUGUAUCGACAGACUCUGGAAUCACACACAGCCUUCGGUAUUCGACAAGCAAUACCACGAGGUCUGGGAAUAGGAAUGCCAAUAAAUUCCUGUGGUAUAUGCAUUAUACCAUAUGUGAAAUUUGACUUGUCCAGCGUAUUAACAAUCUUCGACAUUUUCUCGACAAUGUUGUGAGGUUUGUGUAAGACAGGUGAGCAUUAAUUCGACUGGACGUAUAUUUUUUUUUCAAUAGAUGUAUAUAAACAAAAAAAUAUACGUGAUUCAUUCACUGUCCCUACUUUCGUCUAUCCAAAAUUCGACCGCUAUGUAUGAAAGAGGUAUAUGAUGCUAAUAAAGACAGAAUAUAUAA